UAUCAGUCGAUGGAACAGGGUCAGGAACAAACCCAAGCACUUUAACCUGUUGACUCUUCCCGAUGAUGCCGAGACACACAAAGGGGAAAAGAAAUCCUCAGCAAAGCAUUCUGGGAAAACCGGAUAUCCACGAGCAAAAGGAUGAGAAUCAACCUCCACCAUCACAAGUAUCAGCUCAAGUGAACUGAACUCAUUGAUGUGAGGUCUGAAGUUAGAAACCCUAGAAAACACAGCGGGGAAACUUAGUACCAGGAACCUUAGGAACGGUUUCUUGGACACGAUCUCAAAGCACAGAAGCUAAAACACCAAACUCACAAACUUCUGUGCAGCAAAAGAGAAACAACCUACGAUACCAGAGAAGCUUUUUUUGUGAACACCUCUCAGCUCAGUGGUUUGUGUAAAGCAUGUAAUAAACUCAAGCUCUAACAGCGAAAAUAAUAGCAGUGACAUGUGUUACGCUGGGGAAGACGAGCCCAAAUACAAGCCCCACAGUGACUGCAUCAGGUAUAAGCCAGAUGCCGGGUAGCUUUUACAGCACAUGCCAGUUAGCUCAUAGAGAACUUGGCAAGGAAGAUGCCGCCUGGAAUUAGAAACCUGUGUCCAAAUGAGGGAGACAUCCCCCGUCUGGGGCAGCAGCGAGUAUGAGAUGGAAAUUAGGCCCAUUUGGCUUCCGGCCACUUCUUCAGCAACAAGUAGGAGGCACCUGGCACAGGUC
This 715-nucleotide long non-coding RNA is filed under the name Rattus norvegicus (Norway rat). RNAcentral's name for it is "long non-coding RNA NONRATT012911". The record is from RNAcentral. Lineage: Eukaryota; Metazoa; Chordata; Mammalia; Rodentia; Muridae.